RNAcentral lists this ribosomal RNA (494 nucleotides) under uncultured bacterium. RNAcentral's name for it is "partial 16S ribosomal RNA". It matches the Rfam family "Bacterial small subunit ribosomal RNA", at positions 28 to 507 of the family's 1533-position model. The record is from RNAcentral.
GACGAACGCUGGCGGCGCGCUUAACACAUGCAAGUCGAACGGAAAGGCCUGCUUUCCCUUGUGGAUUGCGGGUACUCGAGUGGCGAACGGGUGAGUAACACGUGAGUGAUCUGCCCCCAACUUGGGUAUAAGCCUGGGAAACUGGGUCUAAUUCCCGAUAGGACUGCAGGGUGGUGCCUGUGGUGGAAAACGAUUUUCUAGUGGUUGGGGAUGAGCUCGCGGCCUAUCAGCUUGUUGGUGGGGUAAUGGCCUACCAAGGCGGCGACGGGUAGCCGGCCUGAGAGGGUGGACGGCCACAUUGGGACUGAGAUACGGCCCAGGCUCCUACGGGAGGCAGCAGUGGGGAAUGGUGCACGAUGGGCGGAAGCCUGAUGCAGCGACGCCGCGUGGGGGAUGACGGGCUUCGGGUGGUAAGCUCCUUUCGACCGCGAGGAAGCCACCUGGUUGGAAGGGUGGUGACGGUAGUGGUAGAAGAAGCACCGGCUAACUACGUG